Molecule: ribosomal RNA, 2683 nt
Filed under: Salmonella enterica subsp. enterica serovar Enteritidis
Lineage: Bacteria; Pseudomonadati; Pseudomonadota; Gammaproteobacteria; Enterobacterales; Enterobacteriaceae
Description: partial 23S ribosomal RNA
Rfam family: Bacterial large subunit ribosomal RNA
Source: RNAcentral
UCGUCACACUAUCAUUAACUGAAUCCAUAGGUUAAUGAGGCGAACCGGGGGAACUGAAACAUCUAAGUACCCCGAGGAAAAGAAAUCAACCGAGAUUCCCCCAGUAGCGGCGAGCGAACGGGGAGGAGCCCAGAGCCUGAAUCAGCAUGUGUGUUAGUGGAAGCGUCUGGAAAGGCGCGCGAUACAGGGUGACAGCCCCGUACACAAAAGCGCAUGUGCUGUGAGCUCGAUGAGUAGGGCGGGACACGUGGUAUCCUGUCUGAAUAUGGGGGGACCAUCCUCCAAGGCUAAAUACUCCUGACUGACCGAUAGUGAACCAGUACCGUGAGGGAAAGGCGAAAAGAACCCCGGCGAGGGGAGUGAAAAAGAACCUGAAACCGUGUACGUACAAGCAGUGGGAGCACAGGUUUACCUGUGUGACUGCGUACCUUUUGUAUAAUGGGUCAGCGACUUAUAUUCUGUAGCAAGGUUAACCGAAUAGGGGAGCCGGAGGGAAACCGAGUCUUAAUUGGGCGUUAAGUUGCAGGGUAUAGACCCGAAACCCGGUGAUCUAGCCAUGGGCAGGUUGAAGGUUGGGUAACACUAACUGGAGGACCGAACCGACUAAUGUUGAAAAAUUAGCGGAUGACCUGUGGCUGGGGGUGAAAGGCCAAUCAAACCGGGAGAUAGCUGGUUCUCCCCGAAAGCUAUUUAGGUAGCGCCUCGUGAAUUCAUCUCCGGGGGUAGAGCACUGUUUCGGCUAGGGGGCCAUCCCGGCUUACCAACCCGAUGCAAACUGCGAAUACCGGAGAAUGUUAUCACGGGAGACACACGGCGGGUGCUAACGUCCGUCGUGAAGAGGGAAACAACCCAGACCGCCAGCUAAGGUCCCAAAGUCAUGGUUAAGUGGGAAACGAUGUGGGAAGGCCCAGACAGCCAGGAUGUUGGCUUAGAAGCAGCCAUCAUUUAAAGAAAGCGUAAUAGCUCACUGGUCGAGUCGGCCUGCGCGGAAGAUGUAACGGGGCUAAACCAUGCACCGAAGCUGCGGCAGCGACACUGUGUGUUGUUGGGUAGGGGAGCGUUCUGUAAGCCUGUGAAGGUGUGUCGUGAGGCAUGCUGGAGGUAUCAGAAGUGCGAAUGCUGACAUAAGUAACGAUAAAGCGGGUGAAAAGCCCGCUCGCCGGAAGACCAAGGGUUCCUGUCCAACGUUAAUCGGGGCAGGGUGAGUCGACCCCUAAGGCGAGGCCGAAAGGCGUAGUCGAUGGGAAACGGGUUAAUAUUCCCGUACUUGGUGUUACUGCGAAGGGGGGACGGAGAAGGCUAUGUUGGCCGGGCGACGGUUGUCCCGGUUUAAGCGUGUAGGUGUGUGUUCCAGGUAAAUCCGGUUCACUUUAACACUGAGGCGUGACGACGAGGCACUACGGUGCUGAAGCAACAAAUGCCCUGCUUCCAGGAAAAGCCUCUAAGCAUCAGGUAACAUCAAAUCGUACCCCAAACCGACACAGGUGGUCAGGUAGAGAAUACCAAGGCGCUUGAGAGAACUCGGGUGAAGGAACUAGGCAAAAUGGUGCCGUAACUUCGGGAGAAGGCACGCUGACACGUAGGUGAAGUGAUUUACUCAUGGAGCUGAAGUCAGUCGAAGAUACCAGCUGGCUGCAACUGUUUAUUAAAAACACAGCACUGUGCAAACACGAAAGUGGACGUAUACGGUGUGACGCCUGCCCGGUGCCGGAAGGUUAAUUGAUGGGGUCAGCGCAAGCGAAGCUCCUGAUCGAAGCCCCGGUAAACGGCGGCCGUAACUAUAACGGUCCUAAGGUAGCGAAAUUCCUUGUCGGGUAAGUUCCGACCUGCACGAAUGGCGUAAUGAUGGCCAGGCUGUCUCCACCCGAGACUCAGUGAAAUUGAACUCGCUGUGAAGAUGCAGUGUACCCGCGGCAAGACGGAAAGACCCCGUGAACCUUUACUAUAGCUUGACACUGAACAUUGAGCCUUGAUGUGUAGGAUAGGUGGGAGGCUUUGAAGUGUGGACGCCAGUCUGCAUGGAGCCGACCUUGAAAUACCACCCUUUAAUGUUUGAUGUUCUAACGUGGACCCGUUACCCGGGUUGCGGACAGUGUCUGGUGGGUAGUUUGACUGGGGCGGUCUCCUCCUAAAGAGUAACGGAGGAGCACGAAGGUUGGCUAAUCCUGGUCGGACAUCAGGAGGUUAGUGCAAUGGCAUAAGCCAGCUUGACUGCGAGCGUGACGGCGCGAGCAGGUGCGAAAGCAGGUCAUAGUGAUCCGGUGGUUCUGAAUGGAAGGGCCAUCGCUCAACGGAUAAAAGGUACUCCGGGGAUAACAGGCUGAUACCGCCCAAGAGUUCAUAUCGACGGCGGUGUUUGGCACCUCGAUGUCGGCUCAUCACAUCCUGGGGCUGAAGUAGGUCCCAAGGGUAUGGCUGUUCGCCAUUUAAAGUGGUACGCGAGCUGGGUUUAGAACGUCGUGAGACAGUUCGGUCCCUAUCUGCCGUGGGCGCUGGAGAACUGAGGGGGGCUGCUCCUAGUACGAGAGGACCGGAGUGGACGCAUCACUGGUGUUCGGGUUGUCAUGCCAAUGGCACUGCCCGGUAGCUAAAUGCGGAAGAGAUAAGUGCUGAAAGCAUCUAAGCACGAAACUUGCCCCGAGAUGAGUUCUCCCUGAGACUUAGAGUCUCCUGAAGGAACGUU